CGCGCUGGUAUCUAUUUUGUUGGUUUCUAGAGUCGCCGUAAUGAUCAAUAGGGAUAGUUGGGGGCAUUAGUAUUCAGUUGCUAGAGGUGAAAUUCUUGGAUUUACUGAGGACUAACUACUGCGAAAGCAUUUGCCAAGGAUGUUUUCAUUAAUCAAGAACGAAGGUUAGGGGAUCGAAAACGAUCAGAUACCGUUGUAGUCUUAACAGUAAACUAUGCCGACUAGGGAUCGGGCGACCUCAAUUUUAUGUGGCGCUCGGCACCUUACGAAAAAUCAAAGUCUUUGGGUUCUGGGGGGAGUAUGGUCGCAAGGCUGAAACUUAAAGGAAUUGACGGAAGGGCACCACCAGGUGUGGAGCCUGCGGCUUAAUUUGACUCAACACGGGGAAACUCACCAGGUCCAGACAUGACUAGGAUUGACAGAUUGAUAGCUCUUUCAUGAUUUUAUGGGUGGUGGUGCAUGGCCGUUCUUAGUUGGUGGAGUGAUUUGUCUGGCUAAUUCCGAUAACGAACGAGACCUUAACCUGCUUAAUAGCCAGGCCGGCUUUUGCUGGUCGUCGGCUUCUUAGAGGGACUGUCUGCGUCUAGUAGACGGAAG
RNAcentral lists this ribosomal RNA (597 nucleotides) under uncultured Taiwanofungus. RNAcentral's name for it is "SSU rRNA". It matches the Rfam family "Eukaryotic small subunit ribosomal RNA", at positions 825 to 1443 of the family's 1831-position model. The record is from RNAcentral. Lineage: Eukaryota; Fungi; Basidiomycota; Agaricomycetes; Polyporales; Polyporaceae.